UUGCUGCCAAUUAAGCCACCCAUGCUUUUCUCCCAGUGGGGGCCCAGUGUGCAGUGGCCGCAAACCGCAGCCUUCUUGGCAGUGUGCGCAGCCUGGUGCCUGUAUGGGUUGUCCCAAGGGACCUUGAAGACAGCC
RNAcentral lists this small nucleolar RNA (135 nucleotides) under Catagonus wagneri (Chacoan peccary). Its description in RNAcentral is "Small nucleolar RNA SNORA70 (ENSCWAG00000000687.1)". It matches the Rfam family "Small nucleolar RNA SNORA70". Rfam says of the family: snoRNA U70 seems to be exclusive to mammals and is a member of the H/ACA class of snoRNA which contain H (ANANNA) and ACA box motifs. Lineage: Eukaryota; Metazoa; Chordata; Mammalia; Artiodactyla; Tayassuidae. The record is from Rfam by way of RNAcentral.